CAGUAGCCACGGGAAUACGAAGGGGGCUAGCGUUGCUCGGAAUGACUGGGCGUAAAGGGCGCGUAGGCGGCGAUCAAAGUCAGAGGUGAAAGCCCGGAGCUCAACUCCGGAACUGCCUUUGAGACUGCAUCACUUGAACGUCGGAGAGGUGAGUGGAAUUCCGAGUGUAGAGGUGAAAUUCGUAGAUAUUCGGAAGAACACCAGUGGCGAAGGCGGCUCACUGGACGACUGUUGACGCUGAGGUGCGAAAGCGUGGGGAGCAAACAGGAUUAGAUACCCCUGUAGUCCCUGUCUCUUAUAC
Molecule: ribosomal RNA, 301 nt
Filed under: uncultured bacterium
Lineage: Bacteria
Description: partial 16S ribosomal RNA
Rfam family: Bacterial small subunit ribosomal RNA
Source: RNAcentral